Molecule: ribosomal RNA, 265 nt
Filed under: uncultured bacterium
Lineage: Bacteria
Description: partial 16S ribosomal RNA
Rfam family: Bacterial small subunit ribosomal RNA
Source: RNAcentral
GUCCGCGCCGUAAACUAUGGAUACUAGGUGUUCGGAGCGUUAACCCUCUGAGUACCAAAGCCAACGCAUUAAGUAUCCCGCCUGGGGAGUACGGUCGCAAGGCUAAAACUCAAAGGAAUUGACGGGGGCCCCGCACAAGCGGUGGAGUAUGUGGUUUAAUUCGAAGCAACGCGCAGAACCUUACCUAGGCUUGACAUACCCGGACAGGCGUAGAAAUACGUUUUUCACUUCGGUGACCGGGAUACAGGUGCUGCAUGGCUGUCGU